AGGAGAGAAGAGGAGUAGCCAGAGGCGGAGGGGCGGGGGCGGGGAGAAGAAACAUGGCAGGAGAAAGGGGAGGAGCCAGAGGCGAAGAGACAGGAAGAGGGACGCGUCAGGGAGAAGGGGAGGAGUCAGAGGCGAGCGGGCGUGGAGGAGGGAAGCGGCAGGGAGAAGGGGCGGGGCCAGAGGCGAAGGGGCGGGGAGGAGGGACGCGGCAGGGAGAAGGGGAGGAGCCAGAGGCGGAGGCUGUUACCAACUGGCUACCUAGAUCCAAAUAUAAAAAAAAUCCGAGUCAGAGAAAUCAUCACGAUGAAGUCAGAGGCGAGAAACUGUCAGUGUAUACAGAGUCUUGCUCUGUCGCCCAGGUUGAAGUGCAGUGGUUCGAUCUCGGCUCAAUGCAACCUCUACCUCCCUGGCUCCCGCGAUUCUCCUGCCUCAGCCUCCUGAGUAGCUGAGAUUACAGGCGCCCGCCACCACCCCCGGCUAAUUUUGGUAUUUUUAGUAGAGAUGGGGUUUCACCAUGUUGGCCAGGCUGAUCUGGAACUCCUAGCCUCAAGCAAUCCGCCUUCAAAAGUGUUGGGGAUUACAGGAGUGAGCCACCGCGCCCGGCCUAUCAAUGAAUAAGAAAACUUUUAAAGAACCACAGGAUAGUAUUGGAGGUCAAGUCAAGUAUGUUCCUCUUGGAAAUUUAGUAACAAACUACAUGUUGCUAUCUCAUAAUAGCAGCUAACAUUUAUGAAGUAUUCAUUGUCAUGAGGCACCGUACAUAGAUUUCUAAUUUAAUCCUUACAACGAUUUUAUUAGGGAGAAACUGCUAUUAGACCCAUUUUGUAAAUGAGAAAACUAAGGCACACAAAGUUUAAUGAGGGAACCAGGAUUAAACCUAAGCAAUCUAACUCCAGGUCCCAGAUUUUUUAACCAUUACAGUACUGUUUAAUUUGAUUUGAUAUGUUAAAAGGAUUAAUAAAAUUAAUACAGGUCCAUUCCCUUAUUCAUAAAUGUUCAUUGUCUUCAUUUAUUUCUUUAUACUGUUCUGCUGAAAUUGCACUCUCAUCUCCCCAAUAACUUUGUAAUAUCCAAUGCCAUUUUUUUCAGUCAUCCCAUUUUAAAAUAUAUUUUUACUAGAAUAGUGAAAUAUAUAUUCAGAUAAAAUUGGCUUUGUUUUAAUAAUGAUCAGUAAAAGUAAAUUCAUUUUAAUCAUUUCCACACAUUCAUGAAAAGUAAAGGGGAAAAAUGGGCAUAGAGGUAACCACUAGAAUUAGGCUUUCUUGGAUGGGUAGACCAGGUGUGGAGGUGUGCAGAUAAGAUUUUACAAACACUCAUACACUCCCAUCUCCAAAAUCAUAAUUUAUCUUACAUUCUGCUACUAAUAAACAUUCCACUGGUUUUAAACAUUCACUUUGCUGGGUCUCCUCUUUAAAAUUUGUCAUUCACUGUUCUCAAUGUUAGAGACGGUAUGCAAACAGUAGGUUUAGGAAUAGAGUCAGGAGAUGGGGGAAGAAAAACUGGUAGGAGAGAACUUAAGUGUCUCACAGUGUUAAAUGUGACUUGAUAGCCACUAUUCAUUUUUUUUUGUAGUUUGCUGUGAGGAUGACUUUAUACAAUUUAAUCUUAAAUAGGAACCUAACUUAGUUAGGCUUCCUUGGGUAGUCUGUGGAGCAUGGAAAAGUUAUUAGCAUGUCAAAAUCCUGUCCACGCACACAUACACGCACAUACA
This 1711-nucleotide long non-coding RNA is filed under the name Homo sapiens (human). RNAcentral's name for it is "HSALNT0343079". Lineage: Eukaryota; Metazoa; Chordata; Mammalia; Primates; Hominidae. The record is from RNAcentral.